RNAcentral lists this transfer RNA (90 nucleotides) under Bacteroidales bacterium. Its description in RNAcentral is "tRNA-Ser". It matches the Rfam family "tRNA". Rfam says of the family: Transfer RNA (tRNA) molecules are approximately 80 nucleotides in length. Their secondary structure includes four short double-helical elements and three loops (D, anti-codon, and T loops). Lineage: Bacteria; Pseudomonadati; Bacteroidota; Bacteroidia; Bacteroidales. RNAcentral also lists the same sequence under 2 other names. The record is from RNAcentral.
GGAGAGGUGGGUGAGUGGCUGAAACCAGCAGUUUGCUAAACUGCCGUAGGGGUAACUCUACCGCAAGUUCGAAUCUUGUCCUCUCCGCCA